Long non-coding RNA from Harpegnathos saltator (Jerdon's jumping ant), 3912 nucleotides. RefSeq lists it as uncharacterized. The record is from RefSeq and is a predicted model, not a curated record. The transcript is spliced from 3 exons. NCBI's taxonomy places the organism in Eukaryota, Metazoa, Arthropoda, Insecta, Hymenoptera, Formicidae.
AGCUCUUACCGUCACGGUCCGCGCUGUUCACGCUCAAGUAAAUUCAGCAUAUAUCUGUGUACCUGAAGUUACGUCGCAGUUGUCGACGUUCGCCUUGAAGUCGCAGAUCUGCCGCGAGACGUCGAAGAGGAGCCCCUGCGAGCACUUGAACUCGAACACCUCGUUGUCUGAAGACACAAUCAUGAGUUACCUAGGCAGAGGAAAUAUUUGGCGCACUCGGCGGCCGACCAGACGCUGUGCGACGGUGCCUUGGGAUUUCGAUAGAACUUAUUGUCGUCUAUGCACGGAACCUCCUCCUCGGAUUUUCCUUUCUCCGCCGCGGUGUUCGCUGCAAAACGAGUCAUCCAAGUCGAGACUUUCGUCGCUUCCAAGCGUACAGUAACGUAUUUAGCAAAUUAACGCGAAUUAAUUAAUGCUCAGACAACACGAUCCUCUCGUAGAUGUCUCGAAGAUGUUUAGAGAAAUGGGCAAUCUUUAUAAGAUAUUUUUAGAUGUUUGGGGUGUCUAGACAUUCUCUUAUGUAACAUUUGAUGACAAAAAGCAUUCUGCCACUUUCAUCAAGGAGGACAAGUUUCAAAUUUUCAAACUGAAAAUGUAGAAGCUUCUAACGCAAGUAAAGUAAAAAACGCAUCAUUUACACUUCGUAGAAGCAAAACGCGUAUUACUGGGAUGGGCGAAGAAGAAAGGAGAGUCUCUCAUUAAGUGAACGUGCUCAGAGAUCGAAACGAUUUCGAUAUCUCACGGCUGCGAGAUUAUUUUACAGGCGCGCGACGAUACUUUCACGAUUCGCCCGGUCGUUCGGAAACGGAUAUCUGUAGCCUGCCGCAUCGAAACCUGAACUGAACCGAACCGAACCGAACCGAAAUCAUAUCGGUUUGCCGACGACACAACGAAGGAAUCCAACUUUGAAGUUUAAUAUCUUACAAGAGCGCAAACGUACCGCAGCCAACCGCUAUAAAAAGUCAUCUGUCACUGAGAAGACUCCGUCGACGUGGAAUUUGACGAACUUAUCGGUCACCAGAGAGAGAAAUAUAUCAAUCGAAAAAUAUAUACUAUACAAUCCAGUGAUAUAUAAUCUAACAUAUUCGACAUAGAACGUCACUACGAGUCGACAACAUCGCCGUUUAGCGACACCGAAUCGAUCCAAAGUCUAGAGAAACGAUGCGCUCUUCAAGAUUCGACUUAAGCUAAGGGAAACAAAGAUAAAUUCGCGCGAUUCGCAGCGAGGGAAGAAGGACGCGCGCAGAGACGCCGAAAAGAGACGAGCACUUUUUUCCAGCCGCGGACUCACCGGAAACGGCGAGUAGCGCGAUCAGUGCGAGACGCAGUCGCGACUUCAUGUUCGGUAUACCUCGCGCGGACGCGCGCGUCUACGCGGCUCUCCUCCACGCGCGACAGCUUGUACUUUCGAACUGACGGCAUACCUGCGAAAACAUGCCUUAUAUGACGAGCAGUGGCCGCGCCGAUCUCCGUGUCGGGCCGGCUAUUCUCACUCGUUUCCGAUCGGGAAGACGUUACCGCGCCUGUUCGAUUCGAUACCGCUCGAUCGCGGAGCUGAUUGCUCGGCUCCGAGCAAGGAGAGCCGCGUCAUUACAGACGUCGACUGGCCCGAUCUGACAAGCCGAGUGAAGCAAUAAAUGUCAAUGUACGUCGAUAAAUCGGCAAUUCACUAUCGGCAAAUUUUUAUCCUACGAAGAAUGCCGUAGCGAGAAGAAAAAAUGAACGCGCGGAGAUCUCGAGCGAGAUCGAAUAAUUGGAACGCGUCGUCGCCAGCGGGAGCUAAUUGUCGUGUAUUUAUAAUUUACCGGGCAAACUUUCGAGCUGACGGAUCGCGCGAGUAUUUGGGAGGCUUUCAAUAGCGAAGCGUUUCGAGCAACAAACGUGAAACUCGAGUAUCGAGUUUAACGGAUUCCUCAUAACGAAGGCUGCGAGAGAUAAUUACCCAUUGCAAGUUAGAGGAGGGAUAUUAAAUGAGGGCUUGGUAUAACGGCGCGUUAACGACGUCGAUUGACUCUCUUCCCUUUGUUUUAUCGAUCAUGCAUCUCCUUAAUUUCAGAUUGAUACCUGGCAGCCGCAGCAAGGCCGAGGAGAGCGGCGCAUCAAAGGCACUCGAUCGCUUAAUCCGGGACGUGCAUCGCCAGCGGAAUCAUUGAACAUUAUUUUUGGACACUCAGUCCCAGCAUGAGAGCGACGUCGUGCCGCGACGUGUAAACAACAAUGGUCCGGUGAUUUGACUGAUGGACAGCGACCAAGAGCGUGAUUUUUCCUGCGGGAACAAGAGCCUCGCUCGUCGCAAUUUGAAUUUCGCCGAGAUCGGAGAACCGAUCUCGAUCGUGUUACGGCGAGAAAGAGAGAGAGAAUAAAUGUGUGAUUUACACUCUCAUUUAAAACCGUAUUAAUAGCCGUUACGUGUAACUCGCCCUAGGUGAGAUACUCACGUUGGAAUUUAGAAGUUUCUGGCUGAUUGUCUCCCUGAAAAAGUAAACUGGAAUGUUCGAACAAAUCCAAGACGGACGCGGCGUACACAAACUCAGAGAUCAAAUCAGAAUUUUCUAUACCGCGGAAGCCUAAAACGUCAUUCCAAUUUAAAAUUAGAUACAAGUUUUUCGGCUGAAUUACGCUUACAAAUGUAACAUCGCACAUGACUGAAAAAACUGAAACCUACCUCUAAAUUCUGAUCUGAGUAUUUCAUACAAGGCGAGCAUCAAAUAACGACUGUUAAUAUGAGUCUUAGGCUGCUAAUUUAACUUUUUUCAAUUCAAUUAAUCGGCGUCAUUGAGCGAUGCAUAAAUUUACAAGUUACACGAAGAAGAAUCAAGUGAAAUCGUGACGACAAGCGACGAUAUGCUCACACAAAUUAAUUGCAAUUCCGUCACACGCGCGCUUACACAAUUAAACGCGGAAUCUUCACGCAAUCCCACCAUAAUUACAGCGGAUUGGGCCGGCCGCUAAAUAACUGUAAGCUCACGCCACAGAAGAUCUAUCACGAUUUCGACUGACGUUUGACUUCGGCUCGCUCCAAUUUUCCGUGCAAGUUAAUCUCGAUAUAUUGUUGCGUGUCGCAACUUUAAGACGACGCACACUUGCCUGAUGAAUCUCGAUAUCGUGAGCGUGCGUCCGCUCUUAACGAGACACGUCUCUUCGUGGAGACGCGGACUCCUCUUCGACUGCAGAGACGAUUUCGCUUUGGCAGAAGUUGCUCAUUGGGUUCUACUACAAGAUCGCGUUAGCAAUCUAAUACUCUGAAAAUUACUCUCUCAAGUGCAAUCAGAAUAUUUUUCUUCACCGAUACACUAUACCUAUAGCUCUUGAUUCAGUUGUAAGUGCAGCAUUACAAUCAGUAAAUCCGCCGUUCCGUAAUCGUUUACUAUAUUGCUCAGCAGACUCGCUUUCACACAGAAAGUUUCAUGACACAGUACCUGUGUAUCGAUAGCUGUGUCUUUCAGACCUCUGAUGUCUCGAUGACUGUUAAAAAAUGACCGUCUGCGCGUCCGUCCGCCGGGGAAUCUACAUUUCCACGGUCUGUCACUGACAGCAUGUCAGUUCUUCGAUUCGUCGAGGACACUCGCAAGUGAACUCUUUGGCUCCGCGACGCGAACGCAUUUCCGCGACAACGAAAAAAAUGCUCGGGAGAAAAAAAGAAAGGAAGAAAAAGAGCGAGUGUGAUCACACGUGUCCCGGUGACAACGAUUCACGUUCGUGUCCACCCUGAGGGCAGACCCUGUGACGAAAAUACAUUUACGCGCAUAGUGAGAAGAUAAAUCGAGGUGGCCGCCAUGAGCGGCGAGAGCCGUUGCUGCUUCGCGAACGUGACCUCCGUUCAAAUUAGAAUAAUUCGCGAAAGAGAACAACGGUGAAGAAGAGCGACGACGGUGCCGCUCGUGCGAGCACAUCUUUCUCUCUCUCUCUCUC